This is a non-coding RNA of Python bivittatus (Burmese python), 3243 nucleotides long. The record is from RefSeq and is a predicted model, not a curated record. Lineage: Eukaryota; Metazoa; Chordata; Lepidosauria; Squamata; Pythonidae.
CAAAUUCUUAUUGGUAUAGAAAACAUAAGGCAUUUUGAGAAGUGGCAAGGUGGCAUUCCAUCAGCUAGUAUGUCUGGAUAAGAACACUUCUGGAGAAUAUAUGUAGCUCAGGGCUGAAUUAUUAGGAUCAUCAGUGCAUGGAAGAGUAAAGUUUGAUGGCUUCAGUCCCCCACAUGCUGAUGACAUUAGUCUUGUAAUGAAACGUCUGUGAGAAGAAAAGCAAGCUCAGGGAAUACCAAGAAACCAAGGAAGACUUCUGGAAUGGUCUAUUGUUCUUGACAGCCAUUGGGUCAACAUUGUUUUGAAGCUAGCAACCGUGACCUGAAGAUCUUUUUCUCUGUCUCUACAAGUAUAUACAGUUGCAAAGGUGCCUUUGGUGAGGGACUUUGUCAAAAGGUUUUGAAAGUUCAAAUAAAGAGCCUCUGUCAGAUAAUUUGUUGACACACAAAGAAUUCUAAAAGGAACUCUGGAGAGGGCUACUGCACUGGUAAUAACUAUUUCAUUUCAUCAGACAUCCUUAAACAGUAUGAAGAGGUUGAGAUCAAUUUUCACAGUUCCGUACAGCAAAUGGUGAUGGCAAAAGACAGAGAUUAGAGUGGUGGAAUUGCAUUGAUUGUUCUGCAUUGUGUGAUAAUCAUACAGCCAUUAGCCUGAAUUUGAAUUUGAAAAGGAACCGGUGAGGAGGUGACUUCAGCCUCACCUGCGCUGGAAGAACAAGGCAGAGCAUCCAAGUGGGGCCUUUGCAGUGAAGUUUAUGCAGUUGCAGAGCACAACCCUUUCUCUGGCCCCUUGCUAUGCGACUCCCGUUAUUUCGCCUGCAAGGAAAGAAGCAGAAGGCCAACAAGAAGACAGUUUAUAAUGUGCCCCAGACUUUCUUGAAUGGGAUAGGCAUGUGUGUUUUUGUAUGGAUGCGUAUCCAUCUCAGAAAUGAAUUUUCUUUCCUUAUUCCUCCGGCUGCCUCUAUCCCCUCCCCCUGUCUGAUCAUUAUGUCCAAGCACUGCGUGGGCUUCAUUAUAUCUUACUCAAUGCAAACUCCAACGUUUUGGCAGAGGAUUCAAAAUGAAUCUGGGAGAGAAAAUAUCAAGAUUCAGCAUGAAAUGUAAACUUUCAUUGAAUUCCUGCUGGUUGCUGCCUUGAACAAGUAAUUCGUUUCUACCUGAAUAUCAGGUGAAAGGCGAUUUUCUUGAGCAGAAGAUUUCUGGUGACUCUGUGUGUGAAUAGUUUUUCCUUGAGCAGAACAGGGAACAGGCCUCAGCAGCUUGAUGGCUGCUUAGAUUCAGAAAGGCCUGAGACAGGUUCUUGCAGAGUACUGAAGGAUGAUUUGAACAAAUCAAUCAAUCAAUCAAUCAAUCAAUACAAUUUUGUGCUGCCGUGGCGUCUGCUUUUUCUUAAAAGUGUUUAGGGUAGUGCUAGACUGUGGAACAACAAUGUACCAAAUCAAAUGCAUUCAUGUCCUAUGUUGUAGUCUACGAAACAUUUGACAGAUCCCCUGUUACUGCAGUCCUAUGCAAUGAUCCACAUGGUGGAAGCUGGGUCAUAGCUUCCAUGGCAGUCUUAGAUUUGUCCCAGGUAAUUUGGAUCUGACAUGCAAACAUUUCUGUCUCAGGUAAUUUCAAAGCUGGCCAGUUAUUGGACCUUGCACUGGAGAAGUUGUUAUGCAACCUGGGUAUGGAGGGCAUUAUUAUCACCCCUUUAUUGUGGUCAGAUAAUUUCCUGGUCCAGAUGUGAUUGAGAGCUGCCUAUGACCUCUGCAGGUCUGGACCCAUUUGGAUGGUCCCUCCCAUGUACCUCGUGGAUCCAGAUGGCUUCCAGUGGAUUCAUGGGGACUUUUCCAACAAUCUGACAGGCAAAUCCAUCAAGGCUCUACAUGAAGCCACUGGGGUAAUUCAUCCAGCAGUUCAGGGUUAGAUAUUAAUAUUCUGAAUAUAAUGCUACAUCACUACUCCAGGCCGUGCUGGUGAUGCUCUUUCUUCAUUUAUUUAUUUAGAAAGUUUAUAUGACCACCCAUCUUACAUGUGAACUCGGGGUAGCUAACAAUAAUAAGAACAAUAUGAUAAACUAUUAUAAAUCAGUCAGUCGAAUUAACAGAAUUAGAGUAAUGCUGAAGUCUUUUCCCAGUAUAUGGAACAGGCUUAAAUUGAAUCCUAGUAAGACAGAGUUACUGUUUAUCCAUUGGUAUAUUCUGGCAGCUCCAGUGGUGCCUCUGGAUGGGAAAACACUAUCUGGAAAGAAGCAAUACCAUGAUUUGGGGGUUUUCCUAGACUUGCAACUUCUGCUAGAGCAAGUGGAAGCCACAGCAAGGGUGAGCCUUUGCUCAGUUUUGGCUGGUGUGCCAGUUGCAGCUCUACCAGGAGUGAGAAGAUCUUGCUGUGGUGACUCAUGCCAUCAUCGCCAUUUCCUUGGAUUACUGCAAUGCAUUCUACAUGGGGCUGCUUUUAAGGACCACUUGGAGGCUUCAGUUGGUCUAAAAUGCAGCUGGGUGGGUUGCCGGUGGGUGCACAUUGCAUCUGUGCUACAAGUCCUGCAUUGCCUUCCUUUGGGCUUCUGGGUGCAAUUUAAAGUGCUGGUUUUAAUCUUUAAAGCCUUUUAUGGCUUGGCAUGAAGUUGCCUUCAAGACUGCAUUUGCCCAGUAGAAUUGGCUUGACCAAUUGAAACUGCCAGGAAAAGUUGGUGGUUCCCUAUUUUGGGAGCCGUGGGGAUGGGGGCCAUGACUCUGAGGCAUUGCUUUUCAGCAGCAGCACUGAACUCUGGAAUAAUCUUCUGCUAGAGUUUAGGUUAGCACCAACUCUCACUGCCUUCUGGAAGGAGCUGAAAGCAGAUGUCCUAUUACAGAGGAAAUUUUAGGAUUUUUAUUUUUGGGGGCAAGAGGGUUGCAUGUUUUUAGAACUUUUAUCAUUGUUUUAAUAUUGACCAUGGAUAUUUUAAAGUUGUAAAACCACCAAGAUUCCUGCAAGAUUGCAGCAGGGUAAAAGUGUAAUAUGUAAAAGUAAAAAAUAAAUGCAUUUUGAAAAAAGUGCUUCAGAACAUUUUGAAGCAAGCACAACCUACCUGAUAAUGGCAGAGGUAUACAUAAUUCUGAAUUAUUGGAACUGUCAGAGUGAAGGAUCCAGUUUGCAAUUUCCAGCUUUGCAGAGUAGAGGUAGGGAUAGUUUAGAUGAGACUUCUCUGCAAUCCUAACUCAGUUAUACACACAGUGGUUGAAAGGUCAGUGCUUCAUCAUUCCAAUUAUGUUAUUGCAGCUGA